This 465-nucleotide ribosomal RNA is filed under the name uncultured bacterium. RNAcentral's name for it is "partial 16S ribosomal RNA". It matches the Rfam family "Bacterial small subunit ribosomal RNA", at positions 28 to 507 of the family's 1533-position model. The record is from RNAcentral.
GACGAACGCUGGCGGCGUGCUUAACACAUGCAAGUCGAACGGAAAGGCCCUGCUUGCAGGGUACUCGAGUGGCGAACGGGUGAGUAACACGUGGGUGAUCUGCCCUGCACUUCGUGAUAAGCCUGGGAAACUGGGUCUAAUACCGGAUAGGAGCCAUUUUUAGUGUGAUGGUUGGAAAGUUUUUUCGGUGUAGGAUGAGCUCGCGGCCUAUCAGCUUGUUGGUGGGGUAAUGGCCUACCAAGGCGGCGACGGGUAGCCGGCCGGAGAGGGUGGGCGGCCACAUUGGGACUGAGAUACGGCCCAGACUCCUACGGGAGGCAGCAGUGGGGAAUAUUGCACAAUGGGCGCAAGCCUGAUGCAGCGACGCCGCGUGGGGGAUGACGGCCUUCGGGUUGUAAACUCCUUUCGCUAGGGACGAAGCUUUUUGUGACGGUACCUAGAUAAGAAGCACCGGCUAACUACGUG